CCCAUACCGCGUGGGUGAAGAAGGCCUUCGGGUUGUAAAGCCCUUUUGUUGGGAAAGAAAUCCAGCUGGUUAAUACCCGGUUGGGAUGACGGUACCCAAAGAAUAAGCACCGGCUAACUUCGUGCCAGCAGCCGCGGUAAUAA
RNAcentral lists this ribosomal RNA (143 nucleotides) under uncultured soil bacterium. Its description in RNAcentral is "partial 16S ribosomal RNA". It matches the Rfam family "Bacterial small subunit ribosomal RNA", at positions 391 to 526 of the family's 1533-position model. The record is from RNAcentral.